RNAcentral lists this long non-coding RNA (1007 nucleotides) under Anas platyrhynchos platyrhynchos (common mallard). RNAcentral's name for it is "lncRNA (ENSAPLG00000027894.1)". Lineage: Eukaryota; Metazoa; Chordata; Aves; Anseriformes; Anatidae. The record is from RNAcentral.
AUGUCCCCAAGCCCGACCUCCGCAGCCACGCCACCCACCCAGCCUGAAGUGACAACAGGCACAUCGCUGGGGACCAGCGUGUCCCCAGCUCCGAGCACCAGCUCGGCAGGAGCUGCACCAAGCACGCCCCCCACCCUCCCCUCCACUUCUCUCCCCUCCACCUCGGUGGUCACCACGAGCACCAGCAAAGGGCCAGCGGCGACCACAGCGCUCAGCACCACCCCCCCGGGGAGCAGCAGUCCUGAUCCCAUCACACCAACCGAGCCCAACACAACCCCGCCGGACCCCACAACGCCUCUGGACACCGCAACCCCCUCCCACCCCAGCACCGGGGACCCUGGGAGCAAUUCAACCCCCAGCCAGCCCCGAGGGACCACCAACGGGACCGCGGGGACACCCCCGGACACCCCCCAGAGCCCCGCUGCCAGCACCGCAGAGACCACGGCGCUGCCGCCCACCACCGCCUCCACCGGCACAGCCUCCAGCCCUGAAAAAGGAUCCUCCACUCCCGAGACACCCAGCACACCCCCGGGGAGCAGCCGUCCCUCUCCUCCCACCACAGCCCCACACACGGGUACAUCAGCCGAGCCCCCGACAUCCCCUCUGGACACCACAGCCCCGCACCCCACCAGCUCUGGGGUGCCCGGGAGCACCCCAAAUCCCAGCCAGACACUGGGGACCACAAACGGGACCAGCCCUGGUGCCUCCACCCUGACCACGGGGACAUCCCCGGACACCCAGGCGUCACCCCCCAGCCCCGGUGCCACCACGGGCACCUCCCCUGCCACCAACUCAACCCAGAGCCCAAACAACAUCUCCAGCACCUCCACGGCCCAGCCGACGGCAGAGCCCACCUGCCCCGGCAUCAUGAGCCCAGGCGCGGAGUCCCACAUCUUCCUGUCCGUGCGCCUGGCCGGCCCCCUGGACCCUGGGAACAAAACCAUGCAGGACCUGAUCCUGUCCGAGGUGAGGUGUGCCCGCAGCCCUUCCCAAGGGGCUCUCCCCUU